CUACGAUGGGAGAACUUCUGUGCUAGAGACACCCUUAUGGGACAAGACUUGCUUCAGUGGGGCUUUGGUGCUCACUGAGUCUGCCCCCUGAAUGUGUCCCUUAUGGAUCUGAGGAGUUGUAAUCUGG
Molecule: non-coding RNA, 127 nt
Organism: Eptesicus fuscus (big brown bat)
Lineage: Eukaryota; Metazoa; Chordata; Mammalia; Chiroptera; Vespertilionidae
Product: microRNA mir-9229b-2
Source: RefSeq, marked provisional